This 942-nucleotide long non-coding RNA is filed under the name Marmota monax (woodchuck). Lineage: Eukaryota; Metazoa; Chordata; Mammalia; Rodentia; Sciuridae. The record is from RNAcentral.
AAAGAUGAUCCCCAACUUAUGAUUAUUUGACAUAUAAUUUUUUGACUUACAUUAGUGGGAAAGCAUACUCAUACAAACAUUGGUUUUUUAACUUAAUUUAACAGAGUAUUCAAUAAAUUACAGAAGAUAUUCAGUACUUUAUUAUAAAAUAGGCUUGUAUUAAAUGAUGUUAUAAGUGCUCUGAGAACAUUUUAGGAAGGGUGGGCUAAGCUAUGAUAUUAGGUAGACUAAAUGAAAUGAAUUUUAGAUAUAUUUUCAACCUACAAUGGGCUAUAGCACCAUCAGAAGUUUAGGACUAUCUAUAUUCUUAACUUUUGUCUAUUUUCUCUCUCAAUUUCUUAGAGAAAUGUGUUAAAAUUUCCCAUUGUGACUGUCAUUUUUAUAAAACAUUAUUUCUUCUUCUGCAUUUAUUAGUUUAUGAUUUCUACAAGCCUGUGUUCAUAAAUGCAGAAAGGUUUAUAAUUAUUAUAUGUUCUUGGUCUAGUGUUCUUUCUUUUAUCAAAAAGAUGUUUUUCUUUUUGAAUCACUUUUGCCGUGGAUAUAUAUCUUGUCUUUAUAAAGUACCCAGCCCUCCAGUAUUUUGUUAUAAUAAUACCAAUGGACUAAAAUGGUGUGUGUGUGUGUGUGUGUGUGUGUGUGUGUGUUUAAGUUCUCCUGCUUGGUAUUUGAUAGACCUUUUCAAAAACUCAUAUCAUUCCUCCAUUCCAGGAGAUUUUUGGCUAUUAGUUUUUUAAAUAUUGCCUUCUGUCUAUUUCAUCUAUUUUUUUUCUUUUGGAACUACGAUUAGACUCAAGUUAAAACUUUUGAGUCUGUCCUCCAUGUUUUUGUAUUUUUAUGCUUUCUAUCUUGUAAACUCUUUGGAUUCUGGCAGAUAUUCUCUCUGUUCUAUUUUUAUUUUUAGCUUACAUAUAUUCUUUUCACCUGAAUUUAAUCUGUUCUUUA